UCAGGUGGCCGCAGAGAAUAGGCCCAAGCGACUGUUUACCAAAAACAUAGGUUUCUGCUAAGUCGCAAGACGAUGUAUAGGAGCUGACGCCUGCCCGGUGCUGGAAGGUUAAGGGGAUCUGUUAGAGUAAUCGAAGCAGUGAACUUAAGCCCCAGUAAACGGCGGCCGUAACUAUAACGGUCCUAAGGUAGCGAAAUUCCUUGUCGGGUAAGUUCCGACCCGCACGAAAGGCGUAACGAUUUGGGCACUGUC
Molecule: ribosomal RNA, 252 nt
Filed under: Clostridioides difficile
Lineage: Bacteria; Bacillati; Bacillota; Clostridia; Peptostreptococcales; Peptostreptococcaceae
Description: partial 23S ribosomal RNA
Rfam family: Bacterial large subunit ribosomal RNA
Source: RNAcentral